ACAGCAGUCGCCGCGGUAAUACGAAGGGUGCAAGCGUUAAUCGGAAUUACUGGGCGUAAAGCGUGCGUAGGCGGUGAGUUAAGUCUGCUGUGAAAUCCCCGGGCUCAACCUGGGAAUGGCAAUGGAUACUGGCAAGCUAGAGUGUGUCAGAGGAUGGUGGAAUUCCCGGUGUAGCGGUGAAAUGCGUAGAGAUCGGGAGGAACAUCAGUGGCGAAGGCGGCCAUCUGGGACAACACUGACGCUGAGGCACGAAAGCGUGGGGAGCAAACAGGAUUAGAUACCCCCGUAGUCCCUGUCUCUUAUAC
This 305-nucleotide ribosomal RNA is filed under the name uncultured bacterium. Its description in RNAcentral is "partial 16S ribosomal RNA". It matches the Rfam family "Bacterial small subunit ribosomal RNA", at positions 508 to 807 of the family's 1533-position model. The record is from RNAcentral.